This 319-nucleotide ribosomal RNA is filed under the name uncultured eukaryote. RNAcentral describes it as "partial 18S ribosomal RNA". It matches the Rfam family "Eukaryotic small subunit ribosomal RNA", at positions 1470 to 1796 of the family's 1831-position model. The record is from RNAcentral.
CCCCUAGAUGUUCUGGGCCGCACGCGCGCUACACUGAACAGUUCAACAAGUCUUAACCUUGGCCGAUAGGUCUGGGUAUCUUUGAACGCUGUUCGUGAUUGGGAUAGACCUUUGCAAUUAUGGGUCUUCAACGAGGAAUUCCUAGUAAACGCAAGUCAUCAGCUUGCAUUGAUUACGUCCCUGCCCUUUGUACACACCGCCCGUCGCACCUACCGAUUGAAUGGUCCGGUGAAAUCUCGGGACGGCGGCUCGGUCGCUUGCGUCCGACUGCUGAAACUUGAUUAAACCAUAUCAUUUAGAGGAAGGUGAAGUCGUAACA